Hippopotamus amphibius kiboko is the source of this 316-nucleotide long non-coding RNA. RefSeq lists it as uncharacterized. The transcript has 3 exons. The record is from RefSeq and is a predicted model, not a curated record. Lineage: Eukaryota; Metazoa; Chordata; Mammalia; Artiodactyla; Hippopotamidae.
GGAGACUUGAGAAAACUGUCUUUCUCAUCUAGAAAGCUGGGGACUAAGGUGUGAACUGAGAAGAUUGGGAUGGUGAUGGAGUGAUGUGAACAUUGCGCCCAGUACGUGACCUGGGGACGUCUACUCUGCAGAAGACUCCUUUCUCCCAAGCGUACCUGAAAGAACUCCAAAGAAAAUUACAUGAAGAUAUCGCUAUACCUUAAAAAAUGUUAGAGGUCCGCACUCCUCCUGGGUGAGCUGACUGCCCUGUCACUCUUCACCACGUGCCGAGGAAAUGCCACCUCCAUCUCCGGCCAGCAUCUCUGUCUGAAUUCCG